RNAcentral lists this ribosomal RNA (250 nucleotides) under uncultured bacterium. Its description in RNAcentral is "partial 16S ribosomal RNA". It matches the Rfam family "Bacterial small subunit ribosomal RNA", at positions 524 to 773 of the family's 1533-position model. The record is from RNAcentral.
UACAGAGGUCCCGAGCGUUGUUCGGAUUCACUGGGCGUAAAGGGUGCGUAGGUGGCCAUGAAAGUCUGAUGUGAAAUCUCCGGGCUCAACCCGGAAAAUGCAUUGGAUACUAUGUGGCUUGAGGUUUGGAGGGGGGACUGGAAUUCUCGGUGUAGCAGUGAAAUGCGUAGAUAUCGAGAGGAACACCAGUGGCGAAGGCGGGUCCCUGGACAACACCUGACACUGAGGCACGAAAGCUAGGGGAGCAAAC